AAAUAGCCAGUGCCAGUGGUUUAAAACGUUUCCAAUUCGUGUUGUCCAUUGUACAAACCACAUUGAUCUGAAGGAGAAUGCUGGGUUAGGGGUGACACAUGUCUCAACUAGAAGUCUUUUUUCAGUGGGUUAGGGGUAACUGCAUAAAACACGACACAUCCCUUUUUAGUUUUUUUUUUUUUUUUUUUCCCCAAAAUAAUGUAUAGGGUUUACAGGAAAUACAACCAGUUUUAUAUACUGUAUAAUCGUAAAUAACUUUUACAUCUCAGUGUACAUGUAGAAAAAUAAAAUAAAAAAAUCAACACAGUAAAGCAUUACAAUAUUCUUUUUAUGUCUCUAUGCUAGUCAUGCUUGGUAAGUAAAUUUGUCAGGCAAUCUACUUUAAUCUUGGAAAGUUUGUCUCAUUUAAAUGAAAAUGAAAUCCUUCUUUUACAGAUUUCAAACAUCACAUCCAAAAGUUUGUGGGCUUCUGUCCACCUGUAUACUGCAUUACAAAUGUGCUCUUUGUAUUGCUUAGAGAAAGGAUAAAUCACUUGUCUCGAUUUUGUGUUUUAACAGCAAUGGGACGGAGUACAAGUUAACCAAGGUAUCAAGAGCAAAUUACCUCAUCUUAAAAAUAUGUUAAUUAAUUGCAGCUUAACCUUACAUCGACCAAAUUAUGUGGAGGUGUUACAACCGUUUGUGGCUGAUGAUAUUCUGGAGGUAAUAUCAUGGACUGUAAGACAAGCUCAAAGAGUUUGGUGAUUCAGGAGUUCAAAACCUGUGGCAGAUUCUCUUCACAAAGGAGCUAUUUUGUGAUGAUGGAACUAUUACUCAGUGUAAAUAACACUUAUGUUUCCAGCUGUUUUGUAUGUAGUUCUAUAUUAUUUUAGUGUUCAGGAUCUGCUGAACCUAAGCAAACGAUUGCGAAGUGUCCAAUCUGUAUGACGUUGCAGUGAAGACGAAGGAGGGCCUUAGGAUAAGUAGUGAAAGACCUGUACUUCAAUCCUGGUCAUUUUAAUUUAAACACUGUAAUCUAGUAUCUAUAAAACUGAAAAGAUUAAGUUGCAAGCUAAAAUGGUGUAUACGAUAUUAUGGCACAGUUGCAGAAAGGGGCAGCUGCUAAUAUCUGCAGAGAUUGUAAAAUUACCUCUUGUCAAAUCAGCAAAACACUUGAAGACUUGAAAAGGAAGCUUACAUGAAGAUUGUUUUGUGAUUGGGUCAUGUUGCUGAAAAGUACCUCAUGUUGAAGUUCUGUACCGGGGGUAAGACCUUCUUUUCUUUUUUAGGUAU
Long non-coding RNA from Polyodon spathula (Mississippi paddlefish), 1272 nucleotides. RefSeq lists it as uncharacterized. The record is from RefSeq and is a predicted model, not a curated record. NCBI's taxonomy places the organism in Eukaryota, Metazoa, Chordata, Actinopteri, Acipenseriformes, Polyodontidae. The transcript is spliced from 3 exons.